AUACGGAGGAUCCGAGCGUUAUCCGGAUUUAUUGGGUUUAAAGGGUGCGCAGGCGGCCAUUUAAGUCAGCGGUUAAAUCGUGGGGCUCAACCCCAUUCUGCCGUUGAUACUGGGUGGCUUGAUUGCGGUCGAGGUUGGCGGAAUUCGUUGUGUAGCGGUGAAAUGCAUAGAUAUGACGAAGAACACCGAUUGCGUAGGCAGCUGACCAGACCGCAAAUGACGCUCAUGCACGAAAGUGCGGGGAUCGAACAGGAUUAGAUACCCUGGUAGUCCGCACAGUAAACGAUGAAUACUUGUUUUCGGCGAUAUAAUGUCGGAGGCAAAGCGAAAGCGAUAAGUAUUCCACCUGGGGAGUACGCCGGCAACGGUGAAAAUCAAAUGAAUUGACGGG
Molecule: ribosomal RNA, 391 nt
Filed under: uncultured bacterium
Lineage: Bacteria
Description: partial 16S ribosomal RNA
Rfam family: Bacterial small subunit ribosomal RNA
Source: RNAcentral